CAGGGUAGGAGCUACUGUGAUCCCACCGGAACUGCCUCCUGGGUUUGAUGGGGCCAGAAGCCCCUUUGGAGGAACGCGUGCUGUGGCAGUUGUGUUGCACAGGGAGCUCCUGAAAGGCACCUUCUUUCUUCUCUUGGACAUGACGUUGGAGAUCUGAAAUACAGUAACCAUUUUGCCACCAGGAAGGGACAUCAUUGGUCUGCAAGGGGUCUUGUGUAAAGCAGAAAGAACAGCUUAGUGAGACAAACACAACUGGGUCCUUGGUGAUUAACUUGAGCCACUGGAUGAAGCCUCGCUUCAGAUUAUUGGAGGCAGCGUGGACAGUAAGUUUAGAAACAAAAACAUCUGCAUUCAGAUCCUGGCUAUGACACCUGCUAACCACCCUCGGGUAAGUCACAGCUUCCCGGAGCCUCGGGCUCCUAAUAUGUAAUAAAUCAGGGUAACAAUGACCACGGUGAGGAGUUGAGAGAGCGCAUAGAGCACAUUUGGCUUUGGAUAAAUAUUUAUUCCUUCUCUUCCACUGUGAUGAAAACCACGUGUUGUGCUUCACAGAAAGUUCCUCCCCGGUCAGAAAGCCCUGGCUGAGGUGGCCUCUCUC
Long non-coding RNA from Felis catus (domestic cat), 598 nucleotides. RefSeq lists it as uncharacterized. The record is from RefSeq and is a predicted model, not a curated record. The transcript has 3 exons. NCBI's taxonomy places the organism in Eukaryota, Metazoa, Chordata, Mammalia, Carnivora, Felidae.